This 492-nucleotide ribosomal RNA is filed under the name uncultured bacterium. RNAcentral's name for it is "partial 16S ribosomal RNA". It matches the Rfam family "Bacterial small subunit ribosomal RNA", at positions 28 to 507 of the family's 1533-position model. The record is from RNAcentral.
GAUGAACGCUCGCUACAGGCUUAACACAUGCAAGUCGAGGGGAAACGACAUCGAAAGCUUGCUUUUGAUGGGCGUCGACCGGCGCACGGGUGAGUAACGCGUAUCCAACCUGCCCAUCACUUGGGAAUAACCUUGCGAAAGUAAGACUAAUACCCAAUGAUAUCCCACGAAGGCAUCGGAAUGGGAUUAAAGAUUUAUCGGUGAUGGAUGGGGAUGCGUCUGAUUAGCUUGUUGGCGGGGUAACGGCCCACCAAGGCAACGAUCAGUAGGGGUUCUGAGAGGAAGGUCCCCCACAGUGGAACUGGGACACGGGCCAAACUCCUACGGGAGGCAGCAGUGAGGAAUAUUGGUCAAUGGGCGAGAGCCUGAACCAGCCAAGUAGCGUGCAGGAAGACGGCCCUAUGGGUUGUAAACUGCUUUUAUAAGGGAAUAAAGUGGGUCACGUGUGACUUUUUGCAUGUACCUUAUGAAUAAGGACCGGCUAAUUCCGUG